This 500-nucleotide ribosomal RNA is filed under the name uncultured bacterium. RNAcentral's name for it is "partial 16S ribosomal RNA". It matches the Rfam family "Bacterial small subunit ribosomal RNA", at positions 30 to 523 of the family's 1533-position model. The record is from RNAcentral.
AUUGAACGCUGGCGGCAUGCUUUACACAUGCAAGUCGAACGGUAACAGGGUGCUUGCACCGCUGACGAGUGACGAACGGGUGAGUAAUGCGUCGGAACGUGCCGAGUAGUGGGGGAUAACGCAGCGAAAGUUGUGCUAAUACCGCAUACGUACUGAGGUAGAAAGUGGGGGACCUUCGGGCCUCACGCUAUUCGAGCGGCCGACGUCUGAUUAGCUAGUAGGUGAGGUAAAGGCUCACCUAGGCGACGAUCAGUAGCGGGUCUGAGAGGAUGAUCCGCCACACUGGGACUGAGACACGGCCCAGACUCCUACGGGAGGCAGCAGUGGGGAAUUUUGGACAAUGGGCGAAAGCCUGAUCCAGCCAUGCCGCGUGUCUGAAGAAGGCCUUCGGGUUGUAAAGGACUUUUGUCAGGGAGGAAAUCCCUAGUGCUAAUUACACUGGGGGAUGACAGUACCUGAAGAAUAAGCACCGGCUAACUACGUGCCAGCCGCCGCAGUAA